Coccinella septempunctata (seven-spotted ladybird) is the source of this 3306-nucleotide long non-coding RNA. RefSeq lists it as uncharacterized. Lineage: Eukaryota; Metazoa; Arthropoda; Insecta; Coleoptera; Coccinellidae. The record is from RefSeq and is a predicted model, not a curated record. The transcript has 3 exons.
UUUUUUAUUCAUUUAUAAACCCAUCUGUUUCUCUGUUGGCGUACGUUUUUUUUCAAUCAGUGCAAUUCAGAUUGUUGAAUUUUUUUUUGUGAUCACUCGAAACAUUCUCCAACAGGCAAUCAAAUGGGUUUCUUUUUUUUUGCAUUUACAAUGGUAUGGCAAAAUUAAUACACCUUGAGUUUCAGUCUCUGAUUUAUUUUAGUUGUGGCUUUGGUUUUUAGUUAACUUAGCUUUAGUUCACCUAUUUGCUUUUGUCCAUAGCUUAUUUCUAUGUAGUAUUUGUUGAAUUUCCGCAAAACCUUUCUCCCUCCAACGAAGAAAAAGUGGAAAUCUUGAUUAGUGUUGCUAAUUCUUUUCGACUCAUAGUUCGAUUGAUUUCAUAUCAUUCCCUAGAUACAUAGUAUUUAAUUUAGAAAUUCUGAUUGAAAUGAGACUACUCACUCAAGAAAUUGGUCGUUUAUAACAUUUAUGUUGAAUUUUAAGACUCAAUUUUUCAGUUUCGAACGUAUUUACAAAAUUUCAACGAAUUCUUAUUGAAAAUUGAGCCUUUUUUUUUCGAUUUAUGGGAAAUUCAAAAUUUUAAUAAUUCAAUGAUAUGACACGCGUUACAAUCACUUUUUUAGGAUUACCUAACGCACUAGGCAGGUUUCAGCACUUUUAAGGUAAGAAGGGGGAGAACUGGUAUGGACUCGAAUGUUGCCCCUUACUGCCUUUCAGAAUUUCAAUGAUCACUCAUUGUCGAUAAUUUCCAGACACUUCUGGCAAACAUUCGAAGUCUUGAACGAUCGGAGACUGAGGUCUCGGUGUUGAGUUACUCCCGCUUGUUACAUUGUUUUAUUUUAUUCGAUAAUUUGAAGUCAGAAAAAAUUUUGCCAUACCGUUGUAAGUGUUGUUGUGUUGGGUUCUGUAGGAAGUAAAUCUAGCAAUUGAGUAUCUUGUCGAAUCCGAAUGUUUUUCUGGUAGAUUUGAAUUAUCAAUUUAUUAGAUAUUUAGGUAAUGCGUAAGUUGAUAAUUGUAGACAAACAUUCGGAAGUUCAUUCCAUUAACUGUAGAUGAAAUUGUUAGGUAUACAUUCCUCCAAAUAAUGUUGGCCUUCUAUUUCAUGUACCUUCCAAUUUUUCGGGUCUAACACUAAUUCAACUGUGCAUGCUUUCAUUUCAUAUUGUACAGUUUUAUUUCCUGGUUACAUACUUAUUUUAGUAUUUAACUAUUUUGUUUCGAAAUGUAUUUCCUCCAUCUCUGCAGAUUUGCAGACAUGGAGUUUUCAAAAUGGAGGUUUUUCCCUUGAAUAACCUACAUCGGUGUGCUCUAGUUGCAUGUGUUUACAUGGAAUGAGAAAAAUUUUGGGCGGGAUAGAUGUGAUGUGGUUGCAUGUGAAUCGAUUUUGGAAUUUUGGUGUUUAUCAAAAUUCCUCGAGUCGUCUUCAAUCGAGGACUUUUGGAUCUCGUAAAAUUUUAUGAGAUCCCCUCAAAUUUUUCUAGGCCUCUCAUGGAUCGUCCUGCUUCAAUAAUAAUUUAUAUUUUUGUAGCGGGUCGAUUUUGAUUCGUGAGAUGUGCCGAUUUUUUUUCAAACUCGCCUCACAUUUUGAGAAUUGCGACAUUUGUGGAUGUUUCCUUCUAUUACCUUGAUAUUUUCAAUGUAAUGUUUUCAAGGAAGCACCUCUACAAGUGAUCUGUCUCUCGAAAUGUUUUGGUCGGAACAUAUGAACUCUGAAACUAUUUUAUUUCCAGGUAAGUAUGAUGCGCGCAGAAGUCUAGACAGUUUCUUGACUUUUUUUGCUGACUGCGAUUGUAAUCAUCGAUUAUUUUGACGUUGAUUUUUUUCCUCCUCCCUUGUAACGAUAUUUUUUUAUCGUUACUGGUUUGGAGGGAAAUUCAACGAUGAAUUGACAUACGUUAUAAUUGACUACUCCGAAGACAAUUUCGAGUUUAUUGAUAACGUUUUUUGCUGGGGAAUAAUUCUGACAUUUCAUAAUUAUUCCAAUCUUUCGUAUUUCUUGAUAGGUUCAGCUUAUUUUCUACGUGUUACACCGUUCUACUAUUGCAAAAUACUUUGGAAUUUCGCGUUCUAUUCAUCAGCAAUUUUUAAGAUCGAAUUUGAUUUCAAAUUUGAUCUGUUUUUCAACAUUCUUCCUCGAACGAAGUACAGUGAUUCUAGGGGGCCAACAACUGACAGGAUUCACGUUUCAAAUCUCUCUGAAACAGCUUGUCACUUCUUGAAUGUUGCAUGCCAUAUUUUUGUACGUGCAGUGUUCUAGAAUGACAGCAUGUUUUUUAGGAGUUGCGGUAUGUCGUCGACGACAUAAUUUUAUCGUCGAUGAUGUAUCGCGAUUUACUUCUGCAGCAUAUAAUUUUGUGUGUGUGCAUUGGUAUAAUCUUGAAACGUGACGAUUAUGUUGAUUGUUGGUUUUCCAUUUUUUCGACGACUGGUUUGUUGCAGAUGGCUUUCCAUCUCUCGUAUGUCCUAGGUGUGGUCGAAUUUACUCCGUGCCAUCGACACUUGAACGUCAUCUUAAGUACGAAUGUGGCGUUGCUAAGCAAUUCGAAUGCGGUGUUUGUCAUCGGAGGUUCUCCAGGAGAGACGUACUUCGCAACCAUCAGAAAGCUCUUGCUCAUUAGGGACUAGUGCAAGUGCCGCGUAGUGUGAAAAAUCGAUCGCUAGAACUGAUUUUUAUCAACUUUGCUUCAAAUUGCUUAUUUCUGAUGUUUUCCCCCGAUGGGAAACUGUCGGACUGAGCGAAGCUUGGUUUUUCGAAUAGUGGACCCGAUUUUUCAUUGGUGUAUUGGAAUUAUUUUCCGUCGACCAAUGAAAAAUUGGGUUGGGAGUGGAGGUGGGACUAUUCGAAUUUCAUUUCAUUAUUUUCUAAAUCCACCGGUGGUAAAUUUCAUUUUGUCAUUAAUCAUUUCUCCCAAUUCCCUUAUCCCUUUAUCAAACAAUGCAUUGCGAUGACAGACAGCCCCAGGGAUGGAAUGGAGCCCAGCAGCCAGCAUCGGAAUUGGUGGACGUGGCCUGACAGCCAAAAAGAGAUCUCUCGUUGCAGCACCGUUGGCCAACGUGAAAUAAAUAAAAGAAAAUGUAAAACAAUGAUUGAAUAAAAUGCAGAUUUUUGAAAUGUUGCUUUUGUCUCUUCCCGUUUCCAGAAAAUUAGAAGGCCAUUUAAAAAGAGACAAAUGGUUUCAUGCCCAAAAUGACGUCGACUUCACACGUGGCUUUCCUUGUGGCAACUGUGGUAAGCUGUACAAGCAUCGAGGAAACAUGCGUCGGCACAUGGUUUACGAGUGCGGCAAACAAGCACGUUUCCAGUGC